CAACUGACCAGAAUAGACUUCCUUUCUCUUUUCUGUCUGCUCCCUAUGGAGCAGUUGAGAAGGUUCAUUUGCAUACAUCUUCAUUUAUUGUCUUUCCAAAGCCUUUGAUACCGAGCACGCUAAGAUGGGUAUCCUCAUUUUACAAAGAUCAAGGCAGAGAGAAGAGAAGGGACUAGCCUAGGAUCACACAAUUGACAUGUCAUCGCUGAGACCAGCAGUAAAUACACAGAUGGGUAAGACUCAAAAGAACCUACAAAUCCUGUACAAUGAAAUCACGUGGCAAGAAUGUGGUUAUUCUGAGAAACAGAAUAAAGCAGCAUUUUGCUGUGCCUUUUCACACAGCUGCCAAUCAAUGGUACAUGCUGGCAUACUUUCAGAAUAGCUGCUCUGUUUAACCCAAUGACCCAGAGGCAGCAAUUUGGAGCUUAGCAAGUGACAUCCCAUGACAUCCAGGAUGCCCUCUCCACCUACCUGCACCCAGUCAAUCACCAAGUCACAGGGAUUUCACCUCUGGAAUAAUUUCAAUCACCACCUGCAUUCCCAAUGGCUUCGUCCAGGCUCUUAUCUCUUAGCUGCACUAUAA
RNAcentral lists this long non-coding RNA (583 nucleotides) under Pan troglodytes (chimpanzee). RNAcentral describes it as "long non-coding RNA NONPTRT007167". The record is from RNAcentral. Lineage: Eukaryota; Metazoa; Chordata; Mammalia; Primates; Hominidae.